AUUGAACGCUGGCGGAAUGCUUUACACAUGCAAGUCGAGCGGCAGCGCGGGGCAACCUGGCGGCGAGCGGCGAACGGGUGAGUAAUACAUCGGAACGUACCCAGUUGUGGGGGAUAGCCCGGCGAAAGCCGGAUUAAUACCGCAUACGACCUGAGGGUGAAAGGGGGGAUCGCAAGACCUCUCGCAGUUGGAGCGGCCGAUGGCGGAUUAGCUAGUUGGUAGGGUAAAGGCCUACCAAGGCGACGAUCCGUAGCUGGUCUGAGAGGACGACCAGCCACACUGGAACUGAGACACGGUCCAGACUCCUACGGGAGGCAGCAGUGGGAAUUUUGGACAAUGGGGGCAACCCUGAUCCAGCAAUGCCGCGUGAGUGAAGAAGGCCUUCGGGUUGUAAAGACUCUUUGUUCAGGAA
RNAcentral lists this ribosomal RNA (412 nucleotides) under uncultured bacterium. Its description in RNAcentral is "bacterial SSU rRNA". It matches the Rfam family "Bacterial small subunit ribosomal RNA", at positions 29 to 445 of the family's 1533-position model. The record is from RNAcentral.